UGGGUAACCUGCCCCUAGCUCUGGGAUAACUGCGGGAAACUGUAGCUAAUACCGGAUGUGACACGAGACUGCAUGGUCUUCGUGUGGAAAGAUUUAUCGGCUGGGGAUGGGCCCGCGGCCUAUCAGCUUGUUGGUGGGGUAGUGGCCUACCAAGGCGACGACGGGUAGCCGGCCUGAGAGGGUGACCGGCCACACUGGGACUGAGACACGGCCCAGACUCCGUACGGGAGCAG
This 233-nucleotide ribosomal RNA is filed under the name uncultured bacterium. RNAcentral's name for it is "partial 16S ribosomal RNA". It matches the Rfam family "Bacterial small subunit ribosomal RNA", at positions 118 to 347 of the family's 1533-position model. The record is from RNAcentral.